Molecule: ribosomal RNA, 1080 nt
Filed under: uncultured bacterium
Lineage: Bacteria
Description: bacterial SSU rRNA
Rfam family: Bacterial small subunit ribosomal RNA
Source: RNAcentral
CGAGGGGAACAGGGUGCUUGCACCGCUGACGACCGGCGCACGGGUGCGUAACGCGUAUACAAUCUACCUUGUACUAGGGGAUAGCCUUUAGAAAUGAAGAUUAAUACCCUAUAGUCUAUUUGAGUGGCAUCAUUUAAAUAGUAAAGGUUACGGUACAAGAUGAGUAUGCGUCCUAUUAGUUAGUUGGUAAGGUAACGGCUUACCAAGACUACGAUAGGUAGGGGCCCUGAGAGGGGGAUCCCCCACACUGGUACUGAGACACGGACCAGACUCCUACGGGAGGCAGCAGUGAGGAAUAUUGGACAAUGGGCGAGAGCCUGAUCCAGCCAUGCCGCGUGCAGGAAGACGGCCCUAUGGGUUGUAAACUGCUUUUAUACAGGAAGAAACACUCCCUCGUGAGGGAGCUUGACGGUACUGUAAGAAUAAGGACCGGCUAACUCCGUGCCAGCAGCCGCGGUAAUACGGAGGGUCCGAGCGUUAUCCGGAAUCAUUGGGUUUAAAGGGUCCGUAGGCGGACAGCUCAGUCAGUGGUGAAAGUUUGCAGCUCAACUGUAAAAUUGCCAUUGAUACUGGUUGUCUUGAAUUAAUGUGAAGUGGUUAGAAUAAGUAGUGUAGCGGUGAAAUGCAUAGAUAUUACUUAGAAUACCAAUUGCGAAGGCAGAUCACUAACAUUAUAUUGACGCUGAUGGACGAAAGCGUGGGGAGCGAACAGGAUUAGAUACCCUGGUAGUCCACGCCGUAAACGAUGGAUACUAGCUGUUCGGUAGCAAUACUGAGUGGCUAAGCGAAAGUGAUAAGUAUCCCCACCUGGGGAGUACGUUCGCAAGAAUGAAACUCAAAGGAAUUUGACGGGGGCCCGCACAAGCGGUGGGAGCAUGUGGUUUAAUUCGAUGAUACGCGAGGAACCUUACCAGGGCUUAAAUGUAGAUUGACAGGGGUGGAAACACCUUUUCCUUCGGGCAAUUUACAAGGUGCUGCAUGGUUGUCGUCAGCUCGUGCCGUGGAGGUGUCAGGUUAAGUCCUAUAACGAGCGCAACCCCUGUUGUUAGUUGCCAGCGAGUCAUGUCGGGAACUCUAACA